Molecule: ribosomal RNA, 428 nt
Filed under: uncultured bacterium
Lineage: Bacteria
Description: partial 16S ribosomal RNA
Rfam family: Bacterial small subunit ribosomal RNA
Source: RNAcentral
GUAGGGAAUAUUGCGCAAUGGACGAAAGUCUGACGCAGCGACGCCGCGUGAGUGAUGAAGGCCUUAGGGUCGUAAAGCUCUGUUGAAUGGGAAGAAAAAAAUGACGGUACCAUUCGAGGAAGGACCGGCUAACUUCGUGCCAGCAGCCGCGGUAAUACGAGGGGUCCUAGCGUUGUUCGGAAUCAUUGGGCGUAAAGGGUGUGUAGGUGGCCAUGUAAGUCAGGUGGGAAAGCUCCGGGCUCAACCCGGGAAGUGCACUUUAUACUGCGUGGCUUGAGUAACGAAGAAGGUAGUGGAAUUCCAGGUGUAGUGGUGAAAUACGUAGAUAUCUGGAGGAACACCGGUGGCGAAGGCGGCUACCUGGUCGAGUACUGACACUGAGACACGAAAGCAUGGGGAUCAAACAGGAUUAGAAACCCCGGUAGUCC